UAUUUUUUCACGUGGACGGUUUUAAUUAAAAUUGGGAUUUUGGAGUAGUGGUGAUGUGGCAUCAAAAAUUGGGAUUUAUGGAUAAAUGAGAUCAGACAUCUGAAAUUGGGAGUUAGGGUUUUCAAAUUUAAAUUGGGGAUUUCUUAAACUCGUUGCGAGAGGAAGCGAAAGACGAUCACCCAUUUCAUUGUUGGAGAAGACGAAGACAAUCCAAGCUAUUCUUGACGCGAACAGAGGUAAAGUAUGUCAUUUUCAUUGUUGUAACAUAUAAAUGUGUUUUUCCUUUUAUGAGCAUGUGUGAUAUUUGGGUUUUUUUGUGUCUGUAUGUAUUGAUAAUGAUUUGUGGUCCCAUUUUCCAUGUUGACUGGUUAGAUUGUACUUUAGAGUUUGUGGUCCCAUUUUGCAUGUUGAUAAUGGUUUAUUGAAUUGUUUAUGAGCUGUAGUGGUCCCCUGUCUGUUAGUGUUGGAUUAGUGGGGUUGUAAGUUUGUUCCCUGUCCCCCUGUGUCGGUCUAAGUGUUUAUUUAGAGAGUGAGUGCCCCACUUACUGGUAUCACUGAAAUUAAAAUAAUAUUUGUCUCCCCCCAUAAUGUACAUGUUAAAAAAGAAAGUUUUUGAUAUGGAUGAGGAACAAAUUAAAAUUGUCG
This 645-nucleotide long non-coding RNA is filed under the name Vigna radiata. RNAcentral describes it as "long non-coding RNA (VRAD_LNC012479)". The record is from RNAcentral. Lineage: Eukaryota; Viridiplantae; Streptophyta; Magnoliopsida; Fabales; Fabaceae.